AACCUAGCACACCUGCGGUGUGUACCUGCGGAAGGAUCAUUACCUAGAGUUGCGGGCUUUGCCUGCCAUCUCUUACCCAUGUCUUUUGAGUACCUUCGUUUCCUCGGCGGGUUCGCCCGCCGGUUGGACAACACUUAAACCCUUUGUAAUUGAAAUCAGCGUCUGAAAAAACUUUAAUAGUUACAACUUUUAACAACGGAUCU
RNAcentral lists this unclassified non-coding RNA (203 nucleotides) under soil metagenome. Its description in RNAcentral is "partial contains 5.8S ribosomal RNA, internal transcribed spacer 2, and large subunit ribosomal RNA". The record is from RNAcentral.